This 70-nucleotide transfer RNA is filed under the name Loxodonta africana (African savanna elephant). It matches the Rfam family "tRNA". Rfam says of the family: Transfer RNA (tRNA) molecules are approximately 80 nucleotides in length. Their secondary structure includes four short double-helical elements and three loops (D, anti-codon, and T loops). The record is from Rfam by way of RNAcentral. Lineage: Eukaryota; Metazoa; Chordata; Mammalia; Proboscidea; Elephantidae.
GCAUAGGUGGUUCAGUGGUAGAUUCUUGCCUUCCAUGCACAAGACCCAGGUUCAAUUCCCGGCCAGUGCA